CAGGGCAUAGCUAAGAGAAUUUAAAGCAUCUCCUUUACACGGAGAAGGCAUCCGUGAAAACCGGAUUGUCCUGA
RNAcentral lists this transfer RNA (74 nucleotides) under Inegocia japonica (rusty flathead). Its description in RNAcentral is "tRNA-Val". It matches the Rfam family "tRNA". Rfam says of the family: Transfer RNA (tRNA) molecules are approximately 80 nucleotides in length. The record is from RNAcentral. Lineage: Eukaryota; Metazoa; Chordata; Actinopteri; Perciformes; Platycephalidae.